ACCCUGUAGAAGCGUGUUUAUCUGCACAUUUCAAAAUAAGCUCGUCUCUACAGGCAGG
This 58-nucleotide microRNA precursor is filed under the name Ascaris suum (pig roundworm). Its description in RNAcentral is "Asu-Mir-10-P4_pre stem-loop". The record is from RNAcentral. Lineage: Eukaryota; Metazoa; Nematoda; Chromadorea; Rhabditida; Ascarididae.